RNA transcript from Egretta garzetta (little egret), 3916 nucleotides. It is a transcript of the gene named SS18 subunit of BAF chromatin remodeling complex, with no coding region annotated. NCBI's taxonomy places the organism in Eukaryota, Metazoa, Chordata, Aves, Pelecaniformes, Ardeidae. The transcript is spliced from 12 exons. The record is from RefSeq and is a predicted model, not a curated record.
UUAGGACUACUUUUCUUUUUGUCAGAAAGCUAAUUCACAUGUGUUCAUAUUCUUGGACAAUUCUGAAAUAUAAUAGAUCUGUUGUGCCCAUUAUACAGAGUAUUUAUAAAGUGCAGUUUAAUUGGAGAUUCUUCAUGUAGAUAUGGCCUACUUUUCCAGUGCAUUUCCUUGCAACAAACCUGUCUGAUGUUGGAUGAAAAUAAUCAUCUUAUUCAGUGUAUAAUGGACUAUCAGAACAAAGGAAAGACGUCUGAAUGCUCUCAAUACCAGCAGAUGCUGCAUACAAACUUGGUUUACCUAGCCACUAUAGCUGACUCCAACCAGAACAUGCAGUCUCUACUACCAGCACCACCCACACAGAAUAUGCCGAUGGGUCCGGGAGGGAUGAGUCAGAGCGGCCCUCCCCCACCUCCACGCUCGCACAGCAUGUCUUCAGAUGGAAUGGUAGGUGGGGGCCCUCCUGCACCACACAUGCAGAACCAGAUGAACGGCCAGAUGCCUGGACCUAACCAUAUGCCUAUGCAAGGACCUGGACCUAACCAGCUUAAUAUGACGAACAGUUCCAUGAACAUGCCUUCAAGUAGCCAUGGGUCAAUGGGCGGCUAUAAUCACUCAGUGCCAUCCUCACAGAGUAUGCCAGUGCAGAAUCAGAUGACUAUGAGCCAGGGACAGCCGAUGGGCAACUAUGGUCCCAGACCAAACAUGAAUAUGCAACCAAACCAAGGUCCAAUGAUGCACCAGCAGCCUCCCUCCCAGCAAUACAACAUGCCACAGGCGGGUGGCCAGCAUUACCAGGGGCAGCAGCCACCUAUGGGAAUGAUGGGCCAAGUUAACCAAGGAAAUCACAUGAUGGGUCAGAGACAGAUUCCUCCAUAUAGGCCACCACAGCAAGGCCCACCACAGCAGUACUCAGGCCAGGAAGACUAUUAUGGGGACCAAUACAGUCAUGGUGGACAAGGUCCUCCAGAAGGCAUGAACCAGCAAUAUUACCCUGAUGGUCAUAAUGAUUACGGUUAUCAGCAACCGUCGUAUCCUGAACAAGGCUACGAUAGGCCUUAUGAGGAUUCCUCACAACAUUACUACGAAGGAGGAAACUCGCAAUAUGGUCAGCAGCAAGAUGCGUAUCAAGGACCACCCCAACAGCAGGGCUAUCCACCACAACAGCAGCAAUAUCCAGGCCAACAAGGCUAUCCAGGACAACAGCAGGGUUAUGGCCCUUCCCAAAGUGGUCCAGGACCUCAGUAUCCCAAUUAUCCACAAGGACAAGGCCAGCAGUAUGGGGGAUACAGACCCACACAGCCUGGGCCACCACAGCCACCACAGCAGAGGCCUUAUGGAUAUGACCAGUUGCAGAACCACCUCAGAUGUGCAACUGAAGUCCGUCUACUGUAGCGCUGUGUGGGGAGGCCUGAAGCCUAUUUUUGCACAGAUUUUUCUCUCAGCAGUAUGAAGGAACACUGAACAUGGGAAAGAAGUGACCUGAAAAGUCAACUGUUUCUUUCCUAUCACUACUGAGAUAAGUUUAAAACAAACAAACAACCACCAAAACUCUAGGCUGCAGUUGUAGUGGAGGAAUCCUGUAAAGAAAAAAACCCCAAAACUGCCUUCUAAUUAAAGGAUAAAGCAGAGGUUUUAUUCCUGUAGAAGGUACUAAACUGUAAAAAUCUGAUCUAUACAGCAUGAAUCAUUCAGAAAUGUCAUUAAAAUGUACAUUAUUACUUUCCUUGGCAUAAAUAAAAUUGAGAGUAACUAAAUAUACCUUAUGGUCAAGUUGAGGUUCUAGUCUUGAAAUAAAAUCCUGCUAUGUCAGUCAAAGAUCAGUUGAACUUUCAAGAAGAGCUUUCCCUUGGAAGUGAGAAUAGCCACAAUUGCCCACAUUUUUAAAGGAGAACAGUUGGCUUCCUUUCUACAGAAGUUAGAAAAGACAAGGAAGAAGGAACAAAGUCUUUCAGUGUGGUAGUUUAGAGAUGCAGUUAAUUCUAAUUAUUUAACAGAUAAGCAAAAUGCUCAUGCACUGAACUAAUAGCUUCUUCCUGCAAAUAACAAGCUACAGGAAAAUGCUUUGCUUGUGGCAAAUGUAGGGUCAAGGAAACUUAAUCUGUUUGCUGAGUUUCUUCCAGCUUUCUUUGCAGCAGAAGUGGAUAACCCUCUCUGUAGAUAGGCUCUACUCCUCCAGUUUGUGCAAUCUAAGUUCCACUGGGAAACUCAGUUACAGAAGACCUCUCGACUCUUUCAUACUAGCCAUUCCCAUAGGAAUUACGCUGCUUCAAUUCUCAUCUGGCAGCUGUUCUGAAACUCUUCUCCCUGACUGAUUGUCAUAUUACAAUAGGAAAAAACCUGACAUUGCAACGUAAAACUGAAAUUUAAAAUACUGCCCUAUCGUGAUGGUACUUAACAUGGAAUGGUGGUGGGACCACAGUUUGGACAGUGUUAACUUCAUAGCACACUGCUUGUUUCUGCAAGCUUUGAACCCUGUGGUGAAGGAUCAUGGGUCAGUAUGGAAAUUAUCAACAGUGAAAAAGUGCUCACAUUCCGGUAGGCAAUAUCUAUUAGCAGCCAUGUUGUCUCCUCAGCACUGUGGACAUCUUCCUGAGAUGAGAACCUACCAUUCCGUCUAGCUUUUGGAAAAAUCUUGUGGCUGUUUUAUGGUAUACAGUCUUUAUGGGUUAAUUGCUAAAGACUGUAGAUUCUCAGAAACUGAUUUCACAUCUCUACUCUAGAUGGCAAUAUUGGACAGAAAAUAUGUGACAUAACAGUUUGCAGUGAGUUGAGAACUAUAUGUCAAAUAGACUGUUACAGACUGAAAGGUGCGAACAGCUUCGUAUGUUUAUGAAGGUUAUGGGAAUUUAAUAUUUUUUCCACAGAUUUUUUUUGUAGGGGGAAAGGGGAAAUGCACACUUUUUACAGCAGCAAUAUUUUGUAUAUUAUGUUUUUCAUGUGGUGAAUAUGCAAGACAGUACACUACUCGCUGGGCAGGAUAAGAAAUCUACUGUUAAAAAUGGGUUGGGGCAUGAUAAGUGCUUGAUUGUAUAAGUCUCGACAUGGUGUACAAUAAAGAUAACGGUGGAAAAAAAAGAUGGAGAGCAUCAUACAUCACUGAUAGGUUCAUGUACAAAGAAUAAGAAUAAUCCCAGUUAUCUAAAUGGGAACAUAAUUAAGGACAGUAUAAUAUAGUCUUGUGCAAAGAUUAAUUUUUUAAGCUUUCCAAUUUUUCUGAGUGAAGCAUUUUUUACAAAAUUGUUUCUAACAUAGUUUGACAAUUUUCUGCAACAUUUUUUGGGUAACAAGAUAAACGUUUGGGUUUUAUUUCUCAAGUGUUUUGUCACAGCUUUGCAUAAGCAAGCUGUAAUCCCUCUUAAUAAUUGCAAUAACAAAGAAAAUGACAAGUGUUAAUUUUACUUGGCUUGAAUAUGCAAGGAACUUGAAAAAGAAUAUGGAGGACAGGACUGUAUUGUAUAAGUGUAUUUUAACCUUUAGUUGAAUAAUUUGUAUGUAUCAAAAUAGCCUAGAAGACUUUGUAAAACCUAUCUAAACUUUCCUAACUGGGAGUUAAUAUCUUUAGAAAGGGGGCAUUUUUUGUGUGUGUCCAUUUUUCUUACUGGUUAACAUGAGACCAAGGGAUGUUUUAUAACAUCAAGUAUAAAACCUGUUGGUGAAGUAAAUGCCAAAUUUUGGUUUGAACUGCAUUAAUGCUUAUAGUGUUGCAUGUGAGAUAGAGGCAGCACCUUGAUCAAUAGCAUAGUACACAAAAAAUUGGUUUUGAGACUGUCCUGCAAAUUAUAUAUCAGAUAAAUAAAUGGAUAUUCUGUUGGGGCAGCAAUAUAUGCAGUCAAGAAUUCCCAGCAUCCUCUAUAAAGGACAAAACUUAAAAUCAGCCCAGGGGUAAAGUAAUUCUUUUUUUUUCAGUCGGUGAUCA